GACGAACGCUGGCGGCGUGCUUAACACAUGCAAGUCGAACGGAAAGGCCUCUUUCGGGUGGUACUCGAGUGUCGAACGGGUGAGUAACAUGUAAAUAACCUGUCCUUACCUUGGGGAUAACUUUAUGUAACUGGGGCUAAUACUGGCUAGUAGCUCCUCCUACAUGGUGUUGUUUGGAAAGUUUCGGCGGUUGGGGAUGGACUUGCCGCUUGUCAGCUUGUUGGUUGGGUAGUGUCUUACCAAGCCGUUGACGGGGUGCCUGCCUGACAGGGUGGACGGAGACAUUGGGAAUGAUAUAAGGGGAGGACUCAUACGGGAGGUAGCAGUGGGGAAGGUAACACAAAGGGUGCAAGCCUGAUGGAGCAACGACGUGUGCGGGAUGACGGACUUCUGGUUGUAAACAGCUAUCGCUCAUGACGAAGAUUUGUGUGACGGUAGUGGGUAAAGAAGCACCGGCUAACUACGUG
This 467-nucleotide ribosomal RNA is filed under the name uncultured bacterium. Its description in RNAcentral is "partial 16S ribosomal RNA". It matches the Rfam family "Bacterial small subunit ribosomal RNA", at positions 28 to 507 of the family's 1533-position model. The record is from RNAcentral.